RNAcentral lists this ribosomal RNA (468 nucleotides) under uncultured bacterium. Its description in RNAcentral is "partial 16S ribosomal RNA". It matches the Rfam family "Bacterial small subunit ribosomal RNA", at positions 28 to 507 of the family's 1533-position model. The record is from RNAcentral.
GACGAACGCUGGCGGCGUGCUUAACACAUGCAAGUCGAACGGAAAGGCCCUACUUUUGUGGGGUGCUCGUUUGGCGAAGGCGUGAGUGAAACGUGAGUAUCCUGCACUUGUAUUUGGGGUAACUUCAGGAAACUGGGGCUAAUACCGGAUAGGAGCUCCUGCUCCAUGGGGGGGGUUGGAAAGUUUCGGCGGUUGGGGAUGGACUCGCGGCUUAUCAGCUUGUUGGGGGGGUAGUGGCUUACCAAGGGUUUGACGGGUAGGCGGCCUGGGAGGGUGACCGGGCACAAUGGGACUGCGGGACGGACCAGACGCCUACGGGAGGCAACAGGGGGGAAUAUUGCACAAUGGGCGGAAGCCUGAGGCAGCAACCCCGCGUGCGGGAAGACGGGCUUCGGGUUGUAAACCGCUUUCGCCUGUGACGAAGCGUUAGUGACGGUAAUGGGUAAAAAAGCACCGGCUAACUACGUG